UCCCAAUUCCCCAAUUCCCAAUUCCCCAAUUCCCAAUUCCCAAAUUCCCCAAUUCCCAAAUUCCCGCCCCAAAUUCCUGCCCCAAAUUCCCCAAUUUCCCAAUUCCCCAAUUCCCAAUUCCCUCCCCAAAUUCCCAAUUCCCAAAUUCCCAAAUUCCCCAAAUCCCCAAUUCCCCAAUUCCCAAUUCCCCAAUUCCCAAUUCCCAAAUUCCCACCCCCAAAUUCCUGAAUUCCCAAAUUCCCAAUCCCCAAAUUCCAGCCCCAAAUUCCCCAAUUCCCCAAUCCCCCAAUUCCCCAAUUCCCAAAUUCCCAGUCCCCAAAUUCCCAAUUCUCAAUUCCCAAAUCCCCAAUUCCCAAAUUCCCAAUUCCCAAAUCCCCAAUUCCCAAAUUCCCCAAAUUCCCUCCCCAAAUUCUCAAAUUCCCUCCCCAAAUUCCCAAAGAAUUCCAUCCCCAAAAUUCCCAAAUUCCUGAAUUCCAUCCCCAAAAUUCCCAAAUUCCCCCCUCAAAUUCCCAAAUUCCCACCCCAAAUCCCCCAAAUUUCCUUCUCAAAUUCUGAAAUUCCCUCCCAAAAUUCCCUCCUCAAAUUCCCAGGGCAUUCCCAAAUUCCCACAGACUCUCCUUCUCCCACCCCAAAUUCCCAUUUUUUCCCCCUGAAUUCCCAUUGUUUUUCCUGUUUUCCCCCAAAUUCCCAUUUUUUCCCCAUUUUCCCCAAAAUUCCCAUUUUUCCUCUAUUUUCCCCCAAAUUCCCAUUUUUUCCCCGUUUUCCCCCCAAAAAUCCCAUUUUUCCCCAUUUUCCCCCAAAUUCCCAUUUUUCCUCUAUUUUCCCCCCCAAAAUCCCAUUUUUCCUCUAUUUUCCCCAUAAAAUUCCCAUUUUUUCUCUAUUUUCCCCCCAAAAAUCCCAUUUUUUCCCCAUUUUCCCCCUGAAUUCCCAUUUUUUCCCCAUUUCCCCCAAAUUCCCAUUGUUUUCCCCAUUUCCCCCAAAAUUCCCACUUUUUCCCCAUUUUCCCCCCAAAUUCCAUUUUUUCCCUGUUCACCCUCAUUUCUCCCCAAAUUCCCCAUUUUUUUCCUAUUUCCUCACCCAAAUUCCCAUUUUUCCCCAUUUUUCCCAUUUUCCCCCAUUUUUCCCACCGUUUUUCCCUGAUUUUCCCUGGAUUUUCCCCAUUUUUUCCCAUUUUUCCCAUUUUUUCCCCAUUUUCCCCAUUUUUCCCAUUUUUCCCCGUUUCCCAUUCCCGGUGUCAUUCCCGGUGUUUUCCCUCAUUCCCGGUGUUUCCCCUUCAUUCCCGGUGUUUUCCCCUUCAUUCCCGGUGUUUUCCCCUUCAUUCCCGGUGGUUUCCCCUUCAUUCCCGGUGUUUCCCCUUCAUUCCCGGUGUUUUCCCUCAUUCCCGGUGUUUUCCCUCAUUCCCGGUGUUUUCCCCUUCAUUCCCGGUGUUUUCCCCCUCAUUCCCGGUGUUUUCCCUCAUUCCCGGUGUUUUCCCUCAUUCCCGGUGUUUUCCCUCAUUCCUGGUGUUGUCUCAGCCUCGCUGACACUGGUGGACCUGGCGGGCUCGGCUGUUCCCGGUGUCAUUCCCGGUGUCAUUCCCGGUGUCAUUCCUGGUGUUUUUCCCUCAUUCCUGGUCUCAUUCCCGGUGUUUCUCAUUCCCAUUCGCGGUGUUUUCCCCUUCAUUCCCGGUGUCAUUCCCGGUGUUUUCCCUCAUUCCCGGUGUUGUCUCAGCCUCGCUGACUCUGGUGGACCUGGCGGGCUGGGCUGUUCACGGUGUCAUUCCCGGUGUCAUUCCCGGUGUUUCUCUUUCCCAUUCCCGGUGUUUCUCUUUCCCAUUCCCGGUGUUUCUCUUUCCCAUUCCCGGUGUUUCUCAUUCCCAUUCCCGGUGUUUUCCCUCAUUCCCGGUGUUGUUUGCCCUCAUUCCCGGUGCCAUUCCCGGUGUUUUCCCUCAUUCCCGGUGUUUUCCCUCAUUCCCGGUGUUGGCUCAGCCUCGCUGACUCUGGUGGACCUGGCGGGCUCGGAGCGCCUGGAGAAGUCGGGAUCGGUCGGGAAUCGGCUGCGGGAGACGCAGACAAUGGGAUCAAUGGGAUCAAUGGGGAUCAAUGGGAUCAAUGGGAUCAAUGGGGCAUCAACUCCAGCCUCAGCGCCCUGGGGCUCGUCAUCAGCGCCCUCUGCAACAAGGUACCGGAUCAAUCCGGGAAUGAUGGGAUCAAUGGGAUCAAUGGGGAUCAAUGGGGAUCAAUGGGAUCAAUGGGGAUCAAUGGGGAUCAAUGGGGAUCAAUGGGGAUCAAUGGGAUCAAUGGGGAUCAAUGGGGAUCAAUGGGGAUCAAUGGGGAUCAAUGGGAUCAAUGGGGAUCAAUGGGGAUCAAUGGGGAUCAAUGGGAUCAGGAUCAAUGGGAUCAAUGGGGAUCAAUGGGGAUCAAUCGGAUCAAUGGGGAUCAAUGGGGAUCAAUGGGAUCAAUGGGGAUCAAUGGGAUCAAUGGGAUCAAUGGGAUCAAUGGGAUCAAUGGGGAUCAAUGGGGAUCAAUCGGAUCAAUGGGGAUCAAUGGGAUCAAUGGGAUCAAUGGGGAUCAAUAGGCUCAAUGUGAUCACUGGGAUCAAUGGGAUCAAUGGGGAUCAAUGGGAUCAGGAUCAAUGUGAUCAAUGGGAUCAGGAUCAAUAGGAUCAGGAUAAAUGGGGAUCAAUGGGAUCAGGAUCAAUGUGAUUAAUAGGAUCAGGAUCAAUGGGAUUGGGAUCAAUAGGCUCAGGAUCAAUGUGAUCAAUGGGAUCAAUGGGAUCAAUAGGAUCAUUAUCAAUGGGAUCAGGAUCACUGUGAUCAAUGGGAUCAAUGGGAUCAAUGGGAUCAUUAUCAAUAGGAUCAGGAUCAAUGGGAUCGGGAUCAAUAGGCUCAGGAUCAAUGUGAUCAAUGUGAUCGAUGGGAUCAAUAGGAUCAUUAUCAAUGGGAUCAGGAUCAAUGUGAUCAAUAGGAUCAGGAUCAAUAGGCUCAGGAUCAAUGUGAUCAAUGGGAUCAAUGUGAUCAAUAGGAUCAUUAUCAAUGUGAUCAGGAUCACUGUGAUCAGUGGGAUCAGCGGCCCCAGGGCAUUCCCGGGAUUUGGGGGAUCCCUGGAGUUUGGGAAUGGGGGAUGGGAGGAUCCAUCGGCCCCGGCGCCCUCGGGGCUGGCGGGGAAACGCCCCAGGUUG
This is a long non-coding RNA of Cyanistes caeruleus (blue tit), 3159 nucleotides long. Lineage: Eukaryota; Metazoa; Chordata; Aves; Passeriformes; Paridae. The record is from Ensembl.